UGCGUAGGCUGGCAAUUAAGUCAGUGGUGAAAUCCUACAGCUUAACUGUAGAACUGCCAUUGAUACUGGUUGUCUGGAGUCCAGUAGAAGUAUGCGGAAUGUGACAUGUAGCGGUGAAAUGCAUAGAUAUGUCAUAGAACACCGAUUGCGAAGGCAGCAUACUAGACUGGAACUGACGCUGAGGCACGAAAGCGUGGGGAGCGAACAGGAUUAGAUACCCUGGUAGUCC
This 229-nucleotide ribosomal RNA is filed under the name uncultured bacterium. Its description in RNAcentral is "partial 16S ribosomal RNA". It matches the Rfam family "Bacterial small subunit ribosomal RNA", at positions 568 to 796 of the family's 1533-position model. The record is from RNAcentral.